AAGGAUUUAAGUUAAUUAAAACUAGAAACCUUCAAAGUUUCCAAUAUAUAAGAUUAUAAGCCUUA
This 65-nucleotide transfer RNA is filed under the name Leiodidae sp. BMNH 1274772. RNAcentral's name for it is "tRNA-Trp". The record is from RNAcentral. Lineage: Eukaryota; Metazoa; Arthropoda; Insecta; Coleoptera; Leiodidae.